UAAGACGGAGGGUGCUAGCGUUGUUCGGAAUCACUGGGCGUAAAGGGCGCGUAGGCGGCUGUGGCAGUCGGGUGUGAAAGCCCGGAGCUCAACUCCGGAACGGCACUCGAGACGCCAUGGCUGGAGGCCGGAAGAGGAGGGUGGAAUACCCAGUGUAGAGGUGAAAUUCGUAGAUAUUGGGUGGAACACCGGUGGCGAAAGCGGCUCUCUGGUCCGGACCUGACGCUGAGGCGCGAAAGCGUGGGGAGCAAACAGGAUUAGAUACCCUGGUAGUCCACGCCCUAAACGAUGUGGGCUAGAUGUCGGGGGGCUUGCCCUUCGGUGUCGGAGCUAACGUGUUAAGCCCACCGCCUGGGGAGUACGGCCGCAAGGUUA
This 375-nucleotide ribosomal RNA is filed under the name uncultured bacterium. Its description in RNAcentral is "bacterial SSU rRNA". It matches the Rfam family "Bacterial small subunit ribosomal RNA", at positions 521 to 896 of the family's 1533-position model. The record is from RNAcentral.